AGUGUAGGCGGCUAUUUAAGUCGGAUGUGAAAUCCCCGGGCUCAACCUGGGAAUUGCAUUCGAUACUGAAUAGCUAGAGUUUGGUAGAGGUAAGUGGAAUUCCGGGUGUAGCGGUGAAAUGCGUAGAUAUCCGGAGGAACAUCAGUGGCGAAGGCGGCUUACUGGACCAAAACUGACGCUGAGGCUCGAAAGCGUGGGGAGCAAACAGGAUUAGAUACCCUGGUAGUC
Molecule: ribosomal RNA, 228 nt
Filed under: uncultured bacterium
Lineage: Bacteria
Description: partial 16S ribosomal RNA
Rfam family: Bacterial small subunit ribosomal RNA
Source: RNAcentral